UCGCCCCACUUUAAAAAAAAAAACUGCCCCAACCUGGAUAACCAAAUCGCCCCACUUGUGAAAUGUGUUAUAUCCCUUAAUAUUACUCCUGCCAACUUGCCCCACCUAAUAGAAAACGAUAAUAUCUAGAUAAAUAUAUUAUUAACCAGGAAGAAUUUACUAAUGCCAACUCGCCCCACUCAUGUAAAAAGAUGUUAUCCCGUUGUAUAUAAG
RNAcentral lists this long non-coding RNA (213 nucleotides) under Mytilus galloprovincialis (Mediterranean mussel). Lineage: Eukaryota; Metazoa; Mollusca; Bivalvia; Mytilida; Mytilidae. The record is from RNAcentral.